GGGAGAGAGUAUAUUUGGUUGGACAGCUGCUCAAAUUGAGCCUUUUGUUUACAGGUGGAAAUGAAGCUCCUGUGUUGCCAGAUUUCAAUUUUCAAGAAAAACUUAACAAUUUAUAUUUUUUAUUUGAAGUCUGUCAAUUGUUAAAUGUUGGCCAUGCAUUCAAAUAUCAGGCCAUUUCCUACAGAUGCAUCAUAAAACAAAGAAGAACAGAAAGGCAUGUUCCAGUCUUCCUUGUGUUUUGUGCACAGAAAGACACAGACCAACAAAACCUGUUGCAUUAUAGACCAUCUCAUGACCCAAAGACAAGGAAUGUCUACGUUCUCAUUAAAAUGGCAAAGCACGUG
RNAcentral lists this long non-coding RNA (344 nucleotides) under Bos indicus x Bos taurus (hybrid cattle). RNAcentral's name for it is "lncRNA (ENSBIXG00005022989.1)". Lineage: Eukaryota; Metazoa; Chordata; Mammalia; Artiodactyla; Bovidae. The record is from RNAcentral.